RNAcentral lists this ribosomal RNA (427 nucleotides) under uncultured bacterium. Its description in RNAcentral is "partial 16S ribosomal RNA". It matches the Rfam family "Bacterial small subunit ribosomal RNA", at positions 355 to 774 of the family's 1533-position model. The record is from RNAcentral.
UGGGGAAUAUUGCACAAUGGGCGCAAGCCUGAUGCAGCCAUGCCGCGUGUAUGAAGAAGGCCUUCGGGUUGUAAAGUACUUUCAGCGGGGAGGAAGGUGUUGAGGUUUAUAACCUCAGCAAUUGACGUUACCCGCAGAAGAAGCACCGGCUAACUCCGUGCCAGCAGCCGCGGUAAUACGGAGGGUGCAAGCGUUAAUCGGAAUUACUGGGCGUAAAGCGCACGCAGGCGGUCUGUCAAGUCGGAUGUGAAAUCCCCGGGCUCAACCUGGGAACUGCAUUCGAAACUGGCAGGCUAGAGUCUUGUAGAGGGGGGUAGAAUUCCAGGUGUAGCGGUGAAAUGCGUAGAGAUCUGGAGGAAUACCGGUGGCGAAGGCGGCCCCCUGGACAAAGACUGACGCUCAGGUGCGAAAGCGUGGGGAGCAAACA